Molecule: non-coding RNA, 46 nt
Organism: Schistosoma mansoni
Lineage: Eukaryota; Metazoa; Platyhelminthes; Trematoda; Strigeidida; Schistosomatidae
Source: Rfam
AUCCAUCUGACGAGUCCUAAAAUAGGACGAAAUGCGUGUCCUGGAU